This 492-nucleotide ribosomal RNA is filed under the name uncultured bacterium. RNAcentral's name for it is "partial 16S ribosomal RNA". It matches the Rfam family "Bacterial small subunit ribosomal RNA", at positions 29 to 507 of the family's 1533-position model. The record is from RNAcentral.
AGUGAACGCUGGCGGUAGGCCUAGCACAUGCAAGUCGAACGGCAGCACAGUAAGAACUUGCUCUUACGGGUGGCGAGUGGCGGACGGGUGAGGAAUACAUCGGAAUCUACUUUUUCGUGGGGGAUAACGUAGGGAAACUUACGCUAAUACCGCAUACGACCUACGGGUGAAAGCAGGGGAUCUUCGGACCUUGCGCGAUUGAAUGAGCCGAUGUCGAAUUAGCUAGUUGGCGGGGUAAAGGCCCACCAAGGCGACGAUCCGUAGCUGGUCUGAGAGGAUGAUCAGCCACACUGGAACUGAGACACGGUCCAGACUCCUACGGGAGGCAGCAGUGGGGAAUAUUGGACAAUGGGCGCAAGCCUGAUCCAGCCAUACCGCGUGGGUGAAGAAGGCCUUCGGGUUGUAAAGCCCUUUUGUUGGGAAAGAAAAGCAGCAGGUUAAUACCCCGCUGUUCUGACGGUACCCAAAGAAUAAGCACCGGCUAACUUCGUG